This 857-nucleotide ribosomal RNA is filed under the name uncultured bacterium. RNAcentral's name for it is "bacterial SSU rRNA". It matches the Rfam family "Bacterial small subunit ribosomal RNA", at positions 28 to 896 of the family's 1533-position model. The record is from RNAcentral.
GAUGAACGCUGGCGGCGUGCCUAAUACAUGCAAGUCGAACGGGAGACCUGGUUUCGACCGGGUUGAGAGUGGCGCACGGGUGAGGAACACAUGGCUGACCUGCCCUUCAGAGGGGGAUAACGGCUGGAAACGGCUGCUAAUACCCCAUACGCUCCUUGGGAUUAGAGGCCUGAGGAGGAAAGCCUUCGGGUGCUGAAGGAGGGGGCUGUGGCCCAUCAGCUUGUUGGUAGGGUAACGGCCUACCAAGGCGACGACGGGUAGGGGGCCUGAGAGGGUGACCCCCCACACUGGGACUGAGACACGGCCCAGACUCCUACGGGAGGCAGCAGUAAGGGAUCUUGCGACAAUGGGCGAAAGCCUGACGCAGCAACGCCGCGUGCGGGAGGACGGCCUUCGGGUUGUAAACCGCUUUUCGGGGGGAAGAGGAAGGACGGUACCCCCGGAAGAAGUCUCGGCUAACUACGUGCCAGCAGCCGCGGUAAAACGUAGGAGGCGAGCGUUAUCCGGAUUUACUGGGUGUAAAGCGCGUGUAGGCGGUCCUGCAAGUGGUGCGUGAAAGCGCCCGGCUCAACCGGGCGAGGACGUGGGCGAACUGCAGGGCUAGAGGCAGGUAGAGGCGUGUGGAAUUCCGGGUGUAGUGGUGAAAUGCGUAGAGAUCCGGAGGAACACCAGUGGCGAAGGCGACACGCUGGGCCUGGCCUGACGCUGAGAGGCGAAAGCAUGGGGAGCGAACGGGAUUAGAAACCCCGGUAGUCCAUGCCGUAAACGAUGCUGACUAGGUGUGGCGGGUAUGAACUCCUGCCGUGCCGGAGCCAACGUGGUAAGUCAGCCACCUGGGGACUACGGCCGCAAGGUUA